UACGUAGGUGACCAGCGUUGUCCGGAUUUACUGGGCGUAAAGAGCGCGCAGGCGGUCGUUCAAGUCGAGUGUGAAAGCCCCCGGCUCAACUGGGGAGGGUCAUUCGAUACUGAUCGACUCGAAGGCAGGAGAGGGAAGCGGAAUUCCCGGUGUAGUGGUGAAAUGCGUAGAUAUCGGGAGGAACACCAGUGGCGAAGGCGGCCUCCUGGCCUGUUCUUGACGCUGAGGCGCGAAAGCUAGGGGAGCGAACGGG
This 253-nucleotide ribosomal RNA is filed under the name uncultured bacterium. RNAcentral's name for it is "partial 16S ribosomal RNA". It matches the Rfam family "Bacterial small subunit ribosomal RNA", at positions 524 to 776 of the family's 1533-position model. The record is from RNAcentral.